Molecule: ribosomal RNA, 344 nt
Filed under: uncultured Bacillota bacterium
Lineage: Bacteria; Bacillati; Bacillota
Description: bacterial SSU rRNA
Rfam family: Bacterial small subunit ribosomal RNA
Source: RNAcentral
GACGAACGCUGGCGGCGUGCUUAACACAUGCAAGUCGAACGGGGAACCGCGAACCGAAGUUUUCGGAUGGAGGGGAGCGGUUUUUAGUGGCGGACGGGUGAGUAACGCGUGAGCGACCUGUCCUGCAGAGGGGGAUAACAACGGGAAACCGUUGCUAAUACCGCAUGAGACCACGGUACUGCAUGGUACCGGGGUAAAAGGAGAAAUCCGCUGUAGGAGGGGCUCGCGUCCCAUUAGAUAGUUGGUGAGGUAACGGCUCACCAAGUCGGCGAUGGGUAGCCGGACUGAGAGGUUGAACGGCCACACUGGGACUGAGACACGGCCCAGACUCCUACGGGUGGCUG